This 253-nucleotide ribosomal RNA is filed under the name uncultured bacterium. RNAcentral describes it as "partial 16S ribosomal RNA". It matches the Rfam family "Bacterial small subunit ribosomal RNA", at positions 524 to 776 of the family's 1533-position model. The record is from RNAcentral.
UACGUAGGAGACGAGCGUUGUCCGGAGUUACUGGGCGUAAAGCGCACGUAGGCGGCUUUCUAAGUCGGGGGUGAAAUCCUGGAGCUCAACUCCAGAACUGCCUUCGAUACUGGAAAGCUCGAGUCCGGGAGAGGUGAGUGGAACUGCGAGUGUAGAGGUGAAAUUCGUAGAUAUUCGCAAGAACACCAGUGGCGAAGGCGGCUCACUGGCCCGGUACUGACGCUGAGGUGCGAAAGCGUGGGGAGCAAACAGG